AUGUUGUUAUUGGAUGAUGACGGU
RNAcentral lists this microRNA (24 nucleotides) under Glycine max (soybean). RNAcentral describes it as "gma-miR1520p". Lineage: Eukaryota; Viridiplantae; Streptophyta; Magnoliopsida; Fabales; Fabaceae. The record is from miRBase by way of RNAcentral.